AAUCCUUCAAUUUUAUCCAAUUUGAAAGGAAAUAUGAUGAUUUAGAUGGUGAAAAUAAUAAUAAUGGUGAUAAUCAAAUAAAACUAAUAACAAUAAAAGAAAUAGUAAUUUUAACAAAAGUAAUAAUCCGGGAUUAUCUUUGAUAAUUGGUGAUACCUGUAAGGUAUUUAGAUAAAACUGGUAAUAAACAUUUGUCACAGCUUUCGUAACCAUGGCCAAUGACCAAGGAUGGGAUUAGUUGAGUUGAUAGCGAUGAAUUGUGGUGAUUAGUUGAUGAAGAUGAUUUAUUGAUGAAACAUUGGCAACACAUUAGAAGUUACAAGUUUUGCCGUUGUGUGGUGAACAAACGCUAACACAUGAUUUUUGAGUUACACAUGAAAACUUAACUCUUUGCUUGAUAUUGAUACACAAUUAUUAAUCUGUUGUCACCUUAUUUUAAUGUUUUGACAUCACAUUUGUUGGACAUUUUUGAAUCCAAAUUGGACUCUCUUUGGUCGUGAUGUGAGUGGUUUCGUCUUCUGGUUGAUGUCAGCUUCAAGUGGAAAGGCACGUUUUAAAGGCGACAACAAGAGACGCACACAAUAACAAGACAGGAAUCAAUUGAAGUAAAGUUGCCGUUUGGGAUACAAAGUUUACUGGAUCAACGUUGUUACCAAAAUGACAAGCAUCGGUUGCUCAGAUCAACAUUUACCUGGUCCAACCUCUUUUUGGGUUGAUACAACAACCAUUAAAAACCUUAUUCACUCUCUCUCUCCCUCUUAUCUUCUCUUUCCUCUAUUUUCAUUCACCUUUUCUUUAUCAUUAUCAUCUUCUUCCCCCUUCUCCCUCUCUCAAAUACACACAUAACUUACCUUACUCAAGGUCUACCCCUAGUCUUCAUCUUAGUCUUCAACUCCAUUCUACUCUCAGUAUUUCCCUCACUUGGUUUCCAUCUGUCUAAAUUUUGUGGACCUUUUCUAUUUUCCUCUGUUGACAUUUCUCUCUUUCUCUCUCACUGACUUCACAUUUCUCAUUCUCACCGAUUUCCUGUUUUUGCAGCUCCCGGAAGCCUCUGAUGAAACCCACAAAUACCAUUAGAAGAUCAAAAAUGCCAGAGUAAAUCAUUUGUCCCGCAAAAAUGCAAUCGUCCCGCAAGUCAGGCAAUUUUCAACUUCAAUCUUCAACUCAACCCAAAACAUCAAUACAUUGAUCUCACUAACCCAAAAGCUGACUUUAGAGCUCAAUCCCAAUGAUUGUACCAUCAAGAUGUGAGGCCAAAAUAUUUAUCACUAUCGCAAAUAAUAUUCAUGUUUUAUAUAUUUGAUUACAGCUGAUUCGGUAAAGGGUAAAACAAUAAAUUUUGAGCUCAAUAAGUCA
Long non-coding RNA from Tetranychus urticae (two-spotted spider mite), 1356 nucleotides. RefSeq lists it as uncharacterized. Lineage: Eukaryota; Metazoa; Arthropoda; Arachnida; Trombidiformes; Tetranychidae. The record is from RefSeq and is a predicted model, not a curated record.